Molecule: non-coding RNA, 70 nt
Organism: Podarcis lilfordi (Lilford's wall lizard)
Lineage: Eukaryota; Metazoa; Chordata; Lepidosauria; Squamata; Lacertidae
Source: the annotation of a GenBank genome assembly
GAUAGCUCAGUUGGUUAGAGCAUGGUGCUGAUAAUGCCAAGGUUGCAGGUUCGCUUCCUGUGGGAUAACU